RNAcentral lists this ribosomal RNA (423 nucleotides) under uncultured bacterium. RNAcentral describes it as "bacterial SSU rRNA". It matches the Rfam family "Bacterial small subunit ribosomal RNA", at positions 207 to 622 of the family's 1533-position model. The record is from RNAcentral.
AAGACCUUGCGCUUUUGGAGCGGCCGAUGUCUGAUUAGCUUGUUGGUGAGGUAAAGGCUUACCAAGGCUUCGAUCAGUAGCUGGUCUGAGAGGACGGCCAGCCACACUGGGACUGAGACACGGCCCAGACUCCUACGGGAGGCAGCAGUGGGGAAUUUUGGACAAUGGGGGCAACCCUGAUCCAGCCAUGCCGCGUGAGUGAAGAAGGCCUUCGGGUUGUAAAGCUCUUUCGGCCGGAACGAAAUCGCAUCUCCUAAUACGGGGUGUGGAUGACGGUACCGGAAGAAGAAGCACCGGCUAACUACGUGCCAGCAGCCGCGGUAAUACGUAGGGUGCGAGCGUUAAUCGGAAUUACUGGGCGUAAAGCGUGCGCAGGCGGCUCUUCAAGUCAGAUGUGAAAGCCCCGGGCUUAACCUGGGAACU